CCAAAGUCCACAAUAGCUAUCAAUUACCUAACAAACUAAUCUGAUAAUACAAUAAUCACUUGAUUGGGGCUUCCAAAAAGGUUAGAAACGUUUUGUGACAGUUCGCCUUUCCGACAACAUUUGGGAGAAAAACUUCAAACUACAUAAUAGAAGCACUUUUCAAAGAAGUACAUGCCUAGAAGCACUUAAGUAAACACUAAUUAGAGUUUUAAUGAAAGCAUUUCAAGCAAAAAUGCUUAUAAGCAGAAGCUUCAGUCACGGUUGUACCCUUUACACUCAAAUUUGAACCCCUUUUCCGUAUCAGAUUAGAAUAUCGCUCGAAUAAAAUUUCAACGUAUUCAUAUUUUCUUCAGUUUAAAGUGGUCAACUUUAAAAAUUAAAUUUGAAUUGAAGAAAUGGUCACUUCACCUGUAGGCGGAGGAGGGAGAGGAGGAGGCGGCCCUGGUGCAGGCUCAGGUGCUGACAUGGAGUUCUUGGCGUAGAAGGGGUAGACUUCGUACCUAACAUGACAACUCGGAAACAAAACUCGUCCUCCGAGUUUCCCAUUACAGCAAUUCGGAAGUUGGGCUAUGGCCAACCGAAGACAGCGGUUACAAUCCGCUUCCGACAGGUCCUGCGUGCACUGCCCGAGGCUGUACACCGAAAUCAACCCGCUUACAUUUGCUUGAUUCGUCGCGAACUUGUCGGCGUCGUUGGCAGCCUCGGUAGCCACCAUGUUCAUACUGGCCGCCAGGACCUGGUUGAACCGAGUCGGGUCGGUGGCGUUUUUAUUGUUCGACAUGUACAGGCGGGGCGACUCGGUGGCGGUGGAGAAGAAUGACUCGUUGGAGUAGCGUAGCAUGCAGUCGUCGUAACCGAUCACCACCUGUUUUUCUACGGGGCAGCGUUGUGGGGCCUCGGAAAUUGCGGUGGCGACACAGGUUUCGCAAGCUUGGGUUCCCGCGACGUCGCCGCGGCAGAGGAAAAGGCCGUAGACGGCGUUGUUUGUGGUUUGGACUGUGGCGUUGUAGAAACCGGUGGAACGGUUAGCGUUGGAGGAGAGGGUGGAAAGGAGGCGGUUGAGGUUGGACUGGAAGGUGGAGUUUGGGGUGAAGGUAGUGGUGUUUGGGCAGUAGUGAACCAGGUAAUCAGCUUCCGUACUGGUCGGAAAGCUGAGCAGAAUAAAAACGGAGAAAAUCAAAAGAAGGGUAGUCAUGUUUUUCAUUUUUUGAUGACUGAUCAUAAAAUCAUAGAUUUUUGUAUUGAGUAUCAUCAAAAGCAAUGCAGGGGUCGUAGCUUGACUUUCAGUCUUUGAGGGAGCGUUUGUUACGACGGAUUAUCUCGGACUGGACUAGCUUCAAGGACUAAGCUGGACUAAAAGCGUUUGGUGCAGUGUUGGACUAAGAAGCUAGAUAAUAACAAAUUCUAAUAUUAUAUUAUUUAAUAUAUAAAUUAUUAAUAUUUUAUUAUGAUCUAGGUGACCGGAGAUGACGAGGAGUCUAUCGGGAGUUGAGUAUGACGAGGACGAGAGUUGGUAGUCUUAGCUAGUCCCAUGGUUAUUGGGGGGUUUCGCUAAGACCUCUUAGUGAAGGGUUUUGUCCAUGCUAGUCCCCUUUAGUCUCAUUAAUGUUAGUCCCAGCAUGGAACAAACACAGUAUUGGACUAACAGCUAGUCCAGUCCAGUCCAGUCCCACUUAGUGAGGGCAAACAAACGCCCCCUGAGUGUCCACCAUAAGGGGUCCUCUCAUACAACCGGAUUUGGAUUAUGGAGGGAUUAAAUUUAGGAAGUUUUAACAAGACAGUCACGGUACUGUUCAUUUUUAAAGAAAAAUCACAUUUUUACCUUUAACUGUCACUAUUCAUUAUACCUUUAAAAAUGACUUUUCAUUAAAAGGGAAGUUUUUUUAAACUUUUCGUUAGUUUUCCUUUAAAUUUAAGGAAAACUAAAGAAUUUUUUUUAAAAAAAACUUUGAGUUUUAACGAUAAAGAUAAAAUAAAUGAUAUAAUAAAUAGUAUCAUGAUUAAUUUUUUUAGUAUAAAAAUAUAAUUUUUCAUUAAAAUGAAUAAUAUUAUGAUUGACUUUUUGUGUUGCAGCUCCCAGAAACACCAAUUGCUAUCUCCAGAGGACAGGUCCUGCGUGCACGGUGCACUGCCCAAAUCCGUACAGCGAAGUGAAACCUGCGUUGGAAAAGAGUAGUAUUUAGUUUUAUUCUGUUGUUUGAAUUUUAGGUUAAGCCCGUUGGAAUUAGAGUAUUGAUUUCUUGCCUGUUAGAAUUAGGUUUAGUUGACUAUAUAUAGUGCUUAUGUUAUGCAAUUGGUUGCAAUAUGUGAAGAAAGUUGAGAUUCCAUUAUAAGACCAAUUGACAAUAUGUGGAGUAGCUAGGGAUGACAAUUUAACUUGUCAAAUCAAAUCACCGCAAGUAACCAAUCCGAAAGGUUCGGUUUCGAUCAUAAAAUUUCGGGUAUUUUUACGGUUAUGGAUAAUAAUCGGGUAAACUUUUCGGUUUUGAGUUCAGUUAUGGUUAUUGGGGUAUCUGCCCCAAACCCAUACCUGAAACCGAACAAUUUCAUCUAUGAAUAAAAAAAUAUAAAUAUUUAUUAUAUGAAAAUGGGUUGUUAAUAAUCAUUCAUUAUUAAAUAUGAAAUUAAUGAUUUACUUUUAUAUCAUUAAUAAUAAGAAUUAUAUGCUUAUAAUUUUCAAGAGUGUAAAUGUUUUCUUAGUAAUAUAAAAUUUUAAUAUUAUUUAUUAGGUGCAUUGUAUCAAUUGUACUAAUAAUAGUAAUUUAUUUAAUAUCGUUUUUUUUAAUAUUCUUCAUUUAGUUAAUAAUAUAAAUAAAUAUAUAAAUAUCGUAAUAGGGAAAACUGUUAGCCAAUCAAAAAUCCGUCACCAGAAACGUUCGAUUAUGGGGAAAAUUCGUUGGAGAUUCUACGAAUUCAGGUUCGAUAAAAAUAAACGGAUUCGGGUAUGGGGAUGACACAUCUAAACCCAAUCCGCCCCGUUGCCAUCCCUAGGAGUAGUUCAACCUCUUAUAAGUCCUUACAAUGUUUCUCCUUUCACCAAUAUAUGGCCGUUGGACUUCACAUGUGGGUCAACCUACUUUGAUACAAUGUAGAAUUAUCUGAGAAACAAGGCAAAUGCACACACAACAACACCAAUAUUGUUCCUAACUUGAUAAUUAUCAUCUGCAUAGUAUAAUUUUAUCACAAAAAAUCUCAAUAUUAAUUAAAGUUAGAUUAGAAUAUUUAAACUCUUUCCUUCUUUCUUUCUUUAAUUGACGUGGGAUUUCAACAAUGUGGACUCAAACACUUCGACGUGACGCUCAUUUUUGAAGAAAAAAUUUCUAUAAAUAUGCUGUCACGCUUCUAGGAGGUUUCAUAUUCCAAGUCAAUAAUGAUUCUGACAUAUGAUGGGACAUAGUAUGAGUGAGUAUAACAACACUGUAUUUUUUUUUAUAACAAAGAGUAUAACAACACUUUUACAUCAAAAUAUUUUUACUUUGGGCUAACACUUUUACAUCAAAAUAUUUUUACUUUGGGUUGUAUUCCAUUUCUUUACAAAAAAAAAAAAAAGAAGUUACUUUUUCAAGUUUACCAACUUUAUCACCUGAUUUAUAUGGAGACGUCAAACUAAUGAAUCAAAAGAGAUUCUUUCUAGUGCAGAUGAUAGUACUUUAUCACAAUGAUAGAAAGUACCUUUGUUUAUGCUUAAAAAUGUAAUUUCGAUCUCCACCAAUUUUUCCCCUUCUUAACAACUAAUUAUUAACUUAUUAUUGAAUUUUAACGAUAAAGACAAAAUAAAAGGUAAAAUAAAUAGUAUCAAAAUUGAUUUUUUAAUUUAAAAAUAUGAUUUUUUUUAUUAAAGUAAAUAAUACCGUAAGUUUUUCGUUAAAAUUCUUUUUGAUUUUUUGGACAAAGAAAAAAGAAUCUUUUUCCCAUCAUAGGCAUGAAAACUUGACCCUUGUCAAUCACGUUAUGUGGAAAAAAGCUUCUUUGGUAUUCUUCAGAUCAUGUGGCGAGUCCACCAAGGGCCAAAGGUGGUCAGUUGACCCGGUGAUGACCAAAAAAUAGCUUAGGUCAACUACGGUGACAUCUUGAUCAUCUGAUUGGUAACGCUUUAGAGCCCACAAUUUUUUGACGAAAUAAUUGAAUGAGCUCCCUGAAGUUGAUGUUUCUACGUACUAAGCAUGCAACCUUUUCUUUUCUUUUAAAACAAUAUAGUUUUGAACCUGGUCUUUAGUUCUCAUUUUUCUUCAAAUAUUUUAAAGGGAAUCCUAACGAAACACUCUUGGUACUAUUCACUAUUAACGUUAAGGACAUUUUUACUCUAAAAAGUCACUUUUGGUAUUAUUCACUUACAACACAUUUUUAUCCCUUUGAUUAAAACUCAUAAUUUUCAAGUUAUUUUCAUUAGUUUUCCUUAUUUUAAACGAAAAAAAUGAUAACAAUAAACCACACCCACACCCGAUUACUCCCCCACUACCCAACCCCAACCCCGCCACCACAUGCGGCCAUUCGUCUCUCCUAUUUUCAUUCCUCAAAUUUCAAGUAACUUUUAAAUUAUAAUCCCGAAUAUUUUGGUUUAUGAAUAAUUGAAUAUUGAAGUAAACACUUCCUACUCAUUAAUUAUAAAUCAUGAAUCCGCCGCUACUCACAUGUAUAUAUAAAAUUCUAAUCCAUAGAUUGCAAAGAAGUAGGUUGAUAUUGGUGAUGGUAAAGGUCUGUCUAUUCAACAUAUUGGUUCUUCUUCCUUGAAUACCUCUAAUGCUGCCUUUAAAUUGUCAAAUGUUCUUCAUGUUCCCAAAAUAAAACAUAAUCUAUUGUUUGCCUAUCAAUUUGUUAAGGAUAAUUACUGUGCAUUGACUCUUGACUUUGAUGGAUCCAUUGUAAAGGAUCGUUCUACGGGGAAGACUCUUUUGCAGGAUGCAGUUAAGAAUGGUUUUUACUCUUUACAAAGCUCUUCUUCUCCUGGUGUCUCCUCCUCCAGCUCUUCUCAUGCUCUGGUGAGUGUUCAAGCUCCUAUCAAGCUCUAGAACAAUCGACUAGGCCAUCCUUCUUCUUCUAUUUUUCGAAGACUUCUCUCUAUAAAUAAAUUGGCAAUCAAAGGUACAUCAGCUGUGGGUUUCUUUUGCUCUGAGUGUGCUAUAGCAAAGAAUCAUAAGCUCCCAUUUGAAUCUUCCACAUCAUCAACUACUCAUAGCCUAGAAUUGUUACAUUGUGAUUUGUGGGGUCCUGCUCCUGUUACUUCAGUGAGUGGAUUUAGGUACUAUCUUCUGCUAGUUGAUGAUUUCAACAAGUAUAGUUGGACAUUUCCUAUAAAAGUCAAGUCUCAAGUGUAUUCUACUUUUGUACUCUUUAAGAACAAUGUAGAAAACACAACUGGAAAUACAAUCAAAACUGUCUGUUCUAAUUCAGAGGGUGAGUUUACAAGUCUAUCAUUUAAAUCUUAUCUUCAAACUCAUGGCAUUUGUCAUCAAUUAAGUUGUCCACACACACCAGAACAAAAUGGUUGUGUGGAAAGGAGCAUCGCCAUCUAGUUGAGACAGCUAGAACCUUAUUGGUUCAAUCUCAUGUUCCUCAACAAUACUAGGUUGAAGAUUUCACCACUACAUUAUAUCUCAUUAACAGAUUGCCAAUCUCUGGGAUUUCAAAAUCACCUUGGGAGUUAUUCUUUCAUACAGUUCCAGAUUACUCUAGGCUCAAAGUAUUUGGUUGUUUAUGCUUUCCAUAGUUAAAAACUUAUGUGUCUUCCAUGGUUAAAAACUUAUGUGUCCUCCAAACUUGAUGGGAAAAGUAAAAGAUGUAUUUUCUUGGGAUAUAGUCUACAACAUAAAGGUUAUAGAUGUUUGGAUGCAGAAACACAAAGGGUUUAUAUUUCAAGACAUGUAGUUUUUAAUGAGACUACAUUUCCCUUUCAUGAUUCUCAUCACCCUGUGUCUUCUGUUUCUUCUCUUCUAUCUCAUCCUAUUGACCUAGAGUUUUCUUUACCCUCAUGCAUUUCAUCAAAUGUUCCAUCUGGUACUUCAACCUCUUCCUCACAGAGUGUUGAACCUAUUCCCAUUGCUUCAUCAAUGCCUAGUGGCACCACAGAAUCUAAUCAUCUCUUUGUGCAACAAAUUCAAAAUGCCCAUCCUAUGAUCACACAGUCAAAAAAUGGCAUUUAUAAACCAAAGGCAUUCAGUGCAACCAAACAUCAUAUUCCUUCCUCUAUUGAAGUAAUCCCUACCACAUAUCUACAAGCUUUAAAGUCUGCUAAUUGGAGAUUAUCAAUGCAAAAUGAAUUCAAUGCAUUUCAGUCUAUAGGUACUUGGAAUUUUGUCCCUCCUACAUCCUCUAAGAAUGUUGUUGGCUGCAAAUGGGUCUUUAGAAUUAAAAAGAACCCUGAUGGCUCUAUUAAAAGAUACAAAGCCCGGCUUGUUGCCAAAGGCUUUCACCAAAAUGAAGGUUUAGAUUAUACAGAAACCUUCAGCCCUGUAGAUAAGCCUGUCACUAUUAGAAUCCUAUUAACAUUUGCUAUGCAAUUCAACUGGUUUCUUAAUCAGUUAGAUAUUAGCAAUGCUUUCCUUCACGGGGAUUUAAAAGAAUAAGUGUUUAUGGUGCAGCCUCAUGGAUUUCAAGAUCCCUUCUUCCAUAUCAUUUAUGUAAGCUUAAGAAAUCAGUGUAUGGUAUUAAACAGGCCCCUAGGGCCUGGUUUGAAAAGUUGUUUCAGGUUCUCAAAUCUCUUGGUUUUACUCAAUCAUCCUCUUAUGCCUCUCUGUUUGUACUAAAAGUUCCAACUUGGUUAUUGUGCUGGUUUAUGUUGAUGAUAUUCUUAUCGGUGGUCCUAAUGCUUCUCUCUGUCAACAACUUAUUAAAAAGUUGAGUGCUCUAUUUCUAGUCAAAGAUUUAGGACCCUUACACUAUUUUUUGGGCUUCGAAGUUCACAUAACCAAAGAUAGUAUUUUUCUACAUCAAGACAAGUAUUUACUUGAUCUUUUACAAAAGACUAACAUGGAUAGAGCUAAACCCUGUUAUACACCCUCAGUUCUGCAAAGUUGGAUCACAUUGGUGAUUUGUUACCUAAUCCCACUGAAUAUCACUCUCUAGUUUGUGGCCUGCAAUAUCUCAAUUGGACUAGACCUAAUAUUUCUUUUGCUGUCAAUCAUGUGUGUCAAUAUAUGCAUGCACAAACAGUUACACAUAUGCAAGCAACCAAAAGGAUUUUAAGAUUCAUCAAGGGCACUAUCACUCAGGGUCUUUUGUUUAAACAAAGUUCUUUACAUCUUUCUGCCUACUUGGAUGUAGACCAGGCUGGCUGCACCAUUGAUAGACGAUCUACUAGUGGUUUUUGUGUCUUUUUGGGUUCAAACUUGAUUAGUUGGUGUGCAAAGAAACAAACCACAUUGGCUCGUUCAUCCACUGAGGCAGAGUACAUGCCUUUGGCUCAAACUGCAGUAGAGAUUACUUGGAUAUGCAAAGUGUUGAAAGAUUUCUGUUUUCCCAUGACUGCUAAACCCACUAUAUGGUGUGAUAACAUCUUAGCCAUAUCUCUUGUUUCUAAUCCUAUUUUUCAAGCUCAUACUAAGCAUGUUGAAAUAGACUAUCACUAUAUUAGGGAAUUGGUUCUUGCCAACUUGAUUAAAGUCCAGUAUGUGUGUAGUCAGGAUCAGAUUACUGACAUUCAUACCAAGUCCUUGUCUAGAUCCAGAUUUCAGUUUCUACAAUCCAAGCUCUCACUUAGAAUCCUGCCUUCUUCCAAGUCUGGCUUGAGAUGGUGUAAAGAUGAAGAUGACAAGUUAUAUCAACAUAUGGUUAUUAGUUUGUUAUAGUUUGAUUGUAAAGUAUUGUAUUUUAUUUUGUUAGAGGGAGAGAGAGAGAGAGAGUCAGUUUUGGUUAGUUAAAGAGAAAGGAAAUAGUCAAAGGUUAUAUAUUAGUGAUUGUAUUAUUCAUUCGGUUUGUUUGUUGCUUCUGCGUUGUACUUCUGUUGACCCUAAAAACUACCAAGCCUAUGUGGCGCACAAGUCGAGUAAUUAGUAAGCUAACUAUGUCUUUCGGUUGUAUGGGGGGCAUGCCAACUCGUCGGCCGAGCUCGGCCGAGGAGUAAAAUGUGUUGAUGUUGCGUUGAACAUGCGGCUGACUUCUUGAUCUCGCGACUGCGGCCGAGGAAGGAACACAUCUCGUCCUUUAGGUUCUAGAGCUUGAAGACAAAGCUACUAGUUCUGCGAAGUUCACAAAUUAUCGGUGUUGGAUUCGAUCAUGGUGAUUAUAUUCGUGAAAGUAUAAGCAUGCUGAAUCGACACCAAAGUAUAGGGACACAAAUACUCAAAACAAAUGUAUGUCUUGAUUAUGAAAGUGGUUCGGCUGUCAGAAUGCCGAACUCUAAAAUUUACUUGCGAAUAACCAAUCAUAGACGACUCGGGGUUCAAUGUGCCGAGUAUAGUAACUUGUAACACCUCAUUUCGCCGAUAAGGCUAACGAGAUGACAUAUGCCAAUAAGGAUUCGAAAAUCCUCCUCGACCGAGACUUGGAUAGAUAACCAGUCGGUCUUGUCCCAGUGCUAUUUAUCCAAACUGAAUGUGCUCCACGGUCAGCUGAUUCUACGGCAACAGUGUUAUUUAUCCAAACUGAAAAAUGUUCGCCGGUUGCCUUCACAGUGCUGUUUAUCCAAACUGAAGAUGUGUUGGCGAAAAAAGAAAAUAAAAAAUCUCAAGAUGUUUGAGAGGUGUUGAAUUGGAGAGACCCUCCCUAUCUAUAACAGCCAACUUGUAUUGAAUUCCAAUCACUCAAGGAUUAGAACUCUUCUCCUUGAUCCAGCUUUUUCUCGGCCAAUCCUACUCCUAUUAGGACUUUGAACAGAACUCGUUAUCAGGCGAUAUUCAGUUCCAGCAUCCUAAUCCUGUCGAAACUCCUUUUCAUAAUAGGACUCAUCCACAUUCCCAAUCCCCGAUGGGAUAUGGCCAAUUUCGACUGUGCGGCCCAUAAACUAGAAAACCCCCAGUGAUACCUAUACAUGGUCUCUGGGCCGAGAAGGACUCUAAACUCGGCCCAACCAACACUGGGUCGAGAUCAUUCUAAACUCGGCUCAAAACCAUAUUUUUGGGCUUAAACAACUUCUUUCUUGCUCUCCUAGUUAUGCAGAAGUAACCCAAUACAAAAAGUAGCACAAAUGCAUAUAUUGGUACAACAAUGGCAACAAUUGCAGUGGUUGUGAUUUUACUUUUUCCUGCAAAAUAAACAAAAAAAUAUUAAGAAAUGGAUAAAAUCAGCAGCCACAGCACAACACCAUAUUCCCAUGUUCCAAAGUCCACAAUAGCUAUCAAUUACCUAACAAACUAAUUUGAUAAUACAAUUAUCAAUUGAUUGGAGCUUCUAAAAAGGUUAGAAACGUUUUGUGACAGUUCGCUUUUCCAACAACAUUUGGGAGAAAAACUUAAAGUACAUAAUAGAAGCACUUUUCGAAGAAGUACAUGCCUAGAAGCACUUAUUAGAGUUUUAAUGAAAGCAUUUCAAGCAAAAAUGCUUAUAAGCA
RNAcentral lists this long non-coding RNA (9484 nucleotides) under Malus domestica (apple). RNAcentral's name for it is "long non-coding RNA (MDOM_LNC018353)". Lineage: Eukaryota; Viridiplantae; Streptophyta; Magnoliopsida; Rosales; Rosaceae. The record is from RNAcentral.